ACAAGCAAACAAUUGAAAAACAUUCUCUGUUGUUGUUGUUGCAAGAUCUUUCAUUUUAUAAUCUUCCAAUCAGAGAAAACAAAUUACUGCUACAAGGAUAAUUAAUAGUUAGACUUGAAAAAUUGUUACAUAUUUUCAGCUAGGACAGAAACUUGUAUUAACCUAAUUAAUUAGGAUAAUUAAUAAGGAUAAUCUGUGUUCCAGCAGAAGCUCUUCAUUUGAACAAAACAAGUAAUUGGUGAAGUGCAGCAUCCUUCCAGUAACAACACUGUGCGAGUCUAUUCCUUAUACUACCUGGCCACGCUGUGUGCCGCUCUUUCUGCAGGACAGCCUGCAGCAUGGGCAAACCUCAUGUGAGGCUGAAGGGCAACUGGAACACUGAAUGCUCCCAUGUGUACUGGAUGUGUUUUUUUCUGGGAGGAUGGAGGCUGUGAUACUGGGGGCACCUGCCAGCAGAGCUGGCAGAGGAGUCACAAAUGACAAUAGUGACCUAGGAGCUGAUUUAGCAAAUGGCAGAAAACUAGGUGUGGUCUGUGCUGUUAUUCCUGCCCUUUGGAAGUGGAGGGUUAAUUUGCUGGAAAAAGCCUUUCUCAUGCCAAGCAAAGCUGCUGUUAAAACCUGUUAAAAAGGAGGAGACUGGGAGUUCAAGUGCUCAGGCUGGACCUACACGUGGACAAGCUGCUGAACUGCAGAAAACAUUGCUGCCUUGUUACCAAGAAUGUGGUUGGCUUCACGUACCAUCUUUCUUGGAAGCCUAUUGUCCAACUGUGGGAAGAAGAAAGGAAUUUCUUGGGAGUUGCUCCCCAGGGAGAGAUGGAACUAAUCCACCUCCGCUGUUCUUGCAGAGUGUGCUGUUGUGAACAAAACAAGUUCUUGUUUAAACCAGAGACUAAAACAAGUUGCCAGAAGAAGUGUGACAAAGAACAUAUGUGUGUUAACAUUUUUCUUUGCUAGAAGAAAACACACAAGAUCUUUUUCAUUAGUGAAACAAAGUCAGAUUGCCAAGGUGAAAUAAUUCUGUGGGCAGUUCAGAAGCAGACAGCUACAGUUUAUGAAGAUCUUUGCCAACGUUAGAGACUAGAAUUGGAUAUCCAUGGCAGUCACUUUCAAUUCUGUCUCACAGUUGAGAAUAUUGCUUGAAAAAUAGGUAGAUAUUCCAGUCUCCCUCUCCCUCUUCCCUUUCCCACUUCAUUUUUAGUCAGUGUAUGUUUUAGUUACCUUAAUGUUUUGUAAAUGCCUCAAAAACAUAUUUUUUUUGAGUACUAAAUGUAUUACAAGAAAAUCAGCCAAAUUAUCCAGAACGAAAAGUAAAGCUGAAAUUUAAAAUUCUUCACAUAGCCUUAAAAAUCUGCUCACUGAUUUUUUAUUGAGUAUGUUGCUAUAUUGGGGAAUUUGCCUGCCAAAAGGGAUGGUUAAUGUUCUUUGGUUCCAUUUUUUCAGUAAUAGUCUAUAAUUCUAAGAUUGUCUGCAAAUUAACCUUGCAGAUAUCUGAAUUGAAUACAGUCCAUAGUUUGAAGAAUAAAUGUGGUAGGAACCCUUCAAAAUUACAGAUUUUUUGGGGGUACACUUUUUCUUGGUAGGAAUCUGAGUUCUUAAAUAAUGCACAUUAACAUUUUCUAGCUGUCUUUUAGGUUAAAUUGAAACCUGGAAUUGAAACCUUUACUUGUGUUUUUAUGUUCUCUAAACUAUUAGUGAUGUGAGAGAACCAUUAGAUGCUUGAAUGGUUCUUUGCAUUUUUUUUUUUUUAUUUUCAACAUGCAUGUAAAUGUUUAUUUUCACAAAUUAGCAAAAUAUUCCUGAAAUAAAUUAAGGCAUUUAAUGUUGGCCAUGACUUUACCAUUAUUAAUGCAUGUUAUUUGCAUAGGAGCAGUACCAAUGAGCUACAGGCAUGGCCUAUGCUUUAUACAGACUUAGAAAUAGAAAAGUUGACACAUUAUAUAGUCUUUACAAUUAGAAAAGUGAUGAUAGUCAACAGGUCACAAUUACAGUUAGGAAAGUGAUGAUAGUCAACAAAGAGGAAGGAAAAAUGAGAGACUGAUACCAUUUUUACAGUAUGGUGAGCCAUGUCUUCAAAACACCACCUGCUCACCUGGCCGAUGUAUUGUUUUUGAGAAAGCUAGAAGAAAAAGUAGCUUUUCAGAGACAGAUAUGAAAAAGUAGGCUUCUGGUUAUAUUAAGGCAGCUCCUUGAAUCAUGAAGCACAUGAAAACUCCAUUCCAUCUGAAAUUAUUCAUCUGAAAAUUUACUGAGCAGGGAGUUGGUUCCGUUGGCUGUUCUGAGUCUGUCUUGCCAGUGAGUCUUUUCAGUGACCUCUUCCAGCUGAAGGAAAAAAGAUCUUUGACUUUCAUGCAGAGAUGAUGUUUUGUCACUUUAACAGAGGUCUCAGUUACAGUAGUCUUACACUGAAGGCACUCUGUUGAAUUGCACAACAUUAAACAUGGUGAGAACAGGGUGAGAAGAAAAUUAGGUUCUUUCUGACACCAAGUGUGUAGAUGGAACACAUGGACUUUGAUGUGAAGGCCUGACACACAAAAUAGAUCCCUCUAACUUCACUUGAAAAGAAUAUGGUUUUAUGUAAAGUAAAUUUGCCAGCAUUGUGCUAUUUGCAGAUGUGGGAGACAAUAUAUGUCUUAAUAUCAUCAGUGCUUUAAUUACCUCUGUAAGCAUGAUGUAUUGUGGCAUUUCUGGUUGAAGUCCUAAUUAGUCUUCACUAUCUAAUGAGCAUAUGAAGGUUUGGCUUUUUAUCUUAUUCAUUAUUAUGAAUGAUAGGGCAACUGUUUAAAACCUCCAGUUUUACACUGAGACAUGAUUAUUUAUGAAAAGGCCUUGCCCUAGAAAUGGAAAUAAUGAUAAUUAUAUUUAAUCUUUUCAUGGUUUAUGCAUUUUUUUUUGCAGUGAAGCAGAUGCCUAUAGGACACUAAUUACCAAGAGGGGAACUACCAGACAGGCUUAUUUUACUAACGCAUGAACCCAAAUUCACAUAUUUUAUAUAUCCCUGCUACCAUUAAUAUUCUUAAUGUAUGUACUUUUCAUGUGCUUGACUUCAUGUCAUAUGCAUAUGUUAUAAGCACAUUUAUUGCUCAGUUUUAACAGCUUAUGAAGGUUGACAGGAUGACCACAUAAACCUGCCUGUUUAGCACUUCCAAUUGCAGCUGCUGCUGCUGUUUUGCACUGAUAAGGGCAUGGAGACUGCUCAGUACUAAGUAUGCCUCCAAAACAUGUGCAAAGGUAGCACAAAUGCAACUGUUGGGUUUACACCCACCAGUAGCUGGCAACAUUGUGAUGCUUUCUGUGCCUGCCUGAGAAAAUGUGAUUUUAUUUUUUUUGCUAUUUCAUGAUCAUCUGAUUUAUCUAUUGCUGAAAUGGACUUGAAAAAAAUGCAAACUGCUUUGUGGGACAUGGCUAUCUUUUUGAAGAAGACGUUUUUAUAGUUUGUGAAGUUUAAAUAAAGUUUUAACCAAGUUGA
Molecule: long non-coding RNA, 3466 nt
Organism: Anas platyrhynchos (mallard)
Lineage: Eukaryota; Metazoa; Chordata; Aves; Anseriformes; Anatidae
Source: RefSeq, a predicted model, not a curated record